GGAGGAGCCCAGACAAGUCUUUUCUCACCUGGGACCUUGGUUCCCUGGAAUAAACCACAGGGCCUGGAGUCAGAAUUUUUGCCUGCCACAUCUAAUACAUGAAAUGCACAGCCUCAGCCCAGACACCAAAAUUAAUAUGUAUUCUUUCCAUUAAUCUUCAUAGCUGGUGAGUGGAAGGGGCUCGUUUCCUUCACAUUUGAAUGAUACUGGAGAAGUUAAUUAUUUCUGAGAACUUGACUAUAAAGUAGAAUAUCAUGGGAAGAAAAGUACACUAGAAAUGAUAACUAUUUAGGGGAAAGCAUGAAUAGCAAGACAUAAUGAAAAGAUGCUUUACAGCAGAGGACAGAGUUGAAAUUCCACAGAUAACUUUAAUUCCAGUGUUUCCUUAGCUGUUUGCUAUUGAGAUGUCAAAGUCAUGUUAUAUGCUUGUAAUGUUGCUUUUCCUUUACUGUCUGAUUUUGUUGUCAGGUCUGUCAUUGUCCAUAAGUACUGACUGCCAGCUUCUGCUUCAAAAUGUGGAACAACAAUGAGCAUAGAUAGCAAUGAAAGCUGGGAUCUGGUGUUGGGAUGGGUUAUUCAGAGAUGAAAAAUCUGUGGCACAAGGUUUCCAGAAAGGCAGGCAAGACUGGACCAUGUCUUCCGGAAGGCUGAUUUGGACUGAAGAAAAGAGAUUAUUAUUUCAGAAGAAGAAGUGAUCCUAGGAAAUUCUCCUUUUCUAUGUUGCAUUUUCUUCUAACUUUUUUUCUCAAGGAUACUGAGAAAGAUAGACAUGAAAGAUGCACAUCUGUAUAAUAUCACUGGAUUUAAAUUCACUUCAUAGGAGUUUUCAUUUCUACUAGAAAAUGUCCAGACUCCUGCAAACUAAAAAAACUUUUAGAACUCUGACUAGCAAUUUUGGAAAAGGUCUUUUGGUGCAUCAACAGGUUUGUGCUGACAAAAAGAAGCAUUACAGCCCUCAGCAUGUUUGCCUGAAGUUCUUUGUAGUGUAUUGAAUGAAUGCUUACAGCUCUGCCACAGGCACCCACUCUAUUUGCUAAGACAGGCAGUGGGGAUGCUAAGGACAAGCAUGUAACCCAGACUUGUGGGGACCGGGUUAAUGGCAAGAGCUUGUUAACACUGGAAUGCUGACAGCACAGUAAAUGUUUGGUACUAAAGGCUUGGUUUUAUAACAAAGGGAAAACCUGGACUUUCACUGUCGUUGAAGUCAUGUGAAGGGGAAUUCCUCACUGCGUGGCUGCAGGGAGGUUUGUGUGUCCCACUCAAUGACUGGACAUAAAACUCCUGUCUGGGAGAGUGUCCUCCAACAAGCCCUGCUACCUCCAGCAGCUUCCCAUGCAGCAACAAUACUCUCAGCUCCUUGCUGCUGUGCUGGGAAGUGCAUAAGCACUGGGGCUGGAUGGGAUACAUUUUUUCUUGUGGGAGAUAGGUCUUAUAUAUGCAGUAGUGGCAGUAAUUAUUAAGCAAUUUUUACCCUAAACCAUCACCAUCAAAGCAACCUCUAUAACUAUUAUUUCCCAAGAGAUCUCUGGACCUGGGAAGGUUUCAGCCAUUGAUUUGCAUGCCACUGGGGAGAGGACAUUUAUUUACCAUGCUGAAUUUACCCCAUCCCUCAGCCUUUGGGCAACAAAAUGUGCUUCUCUUUAUCCAGUAUAUGAACUAUAGAAGGCAACAGGUUGUUUGUUUGGGUUUUUUCCUCACUGCCCUCAUGCUUCUAGAAUCAGUAAAAUUUUUUCAAAGCAUCAGAAGCUCAGAAAUUCAGGAAACUAUUUACACCACUGUCUGGAGUGUGGGUUCAGCUUGAGUGAAUAUUCAAAUGCUUCUCCAAAGCUUAUCUGGCCUAGCCAAAACCUCCUGAAUUUACAAAAUUGGGCUGGGCAUUUUAUGAGAACAGGAUGUCUUACAAGAUUUUCAGAAUUUCCUCUGCUAAGAGAAUAUACCGUGAGAUCAGCUUGGAAACCAGAAUAAUUUAUUUUGAUUCAAAGUGGGCCGUAAUGUUUCCAGAUCCUAAAAAGAUUCAAAGUGAAUUGGCUUGUAGAAAUCAAUUGAGAGUGGAGGAGAAUGACUUCUUUUAUUUUGCCUUCCUUAAGCCAGUUUGCUCUUCUCCAAAGGCAUCCAAAAUAACUCCACUCUUGGCAGACGUGUUUCCCAUUUCAAACCCAGCCCUCCCCUUGCUCCAACACUGCCUUGCUGUUGGAGCACCUUGUCUAGAAACAAAUUAUUAACUUUAAAUUCUAAGCCAGCAAUUAAUUCUCUCAAAGGUCAGACAGAUCAAAUGACUUCCACAUCAGCUCAAAGCUCCUCCAUCAAAAAUGAGAUGAAAGUGCUGGUGUUCCUGAUGUUCAUUCCAGUCUGGCAUCCCAGGUUUCAAAGGCUGCCCUUUAGUUUGGAGGCUGAGGAUGGGCAGCUGGAUAUCAGGAGGGGUUUUGCUGUGAUCUCUCUGCUCUUUGAGCCCAUAUGUCAGAUCUUUACCACUUGUGCUCUUUAGGGUGACCUUUUUUUUUGUUCUGUCCACUGAGCUGUGUUUAUCUGGAGUAAAAAUGCCACCUCCUGAAAAGCCCAGGUGAAUCUGUGCUGAGACGUGGCUGGCAUGGUUCAGCUGAAGGGGAGGCACAGCAGCCACCUUGCAGCACCCAUUACACCUGCACCUGGCACACACCACCCAGGCUCCUGGGGAAUGUUUCAACACAAAAGGGUGCUUGCAGCUCUUACAGACUUUUCCCAGAAUAGUCUGUUUUCCUGAUGUUGCCUGUAAGAAGGAACGCAGACACUCUGGUGGCUGCAAACACACGAAAUGUAGAUGCCAAAUAUGGUGGAGCUCAACCUUGCUGUGACUCCCUGGAUAGGACCAGGAAAUCUGCAGGGUCUCUCACACCUGCUCUGACUUUCUGUUUUCAGACUGCUUUCAUUAUUUGCUGAGUAGCUGACCUCGAUGAUCAAGCUGUCCCUUUAAUGGCCCAGAAGACUAAUUGCCUGCUUUGUGCACAGACUGUCCCAUUACCUGAUCCUGCCAGGGGGAUAACAAAGGUGACCAGAAUGGGUCAUUCUUUCCCUGCAGUGCCAGUUGAGAAAAACAUGGGUGUAUGUGCCUCUCCUGGGAGGCAGUAGCAGCAGUGUUAGAGCUUUUUUCACACUCCAAGGAAAGCCAAAGCCAACUUCAAAGAAUAAAACACAGUGGCUGUGGCCAUCUCAGGUAACAGAGAGAUCUGGCCGAGCCUGGACUGCAUCCACACAUCUCAGCUAGAGAGGGUGCAGCCCUGCCAUGAUGAGAAGAAAUAGUCACUGAUCCCACAGAAUAAAUGUUGAAAAGCCACUUUAAUAUCCUGCUCUGAACUACAGCUUUUUAUUUUAAAAACUUUCUCAAUGUCAGAACUUUGAGAAGUUAAAGAAUUUGAGAGGGAAAGUCCCACAGCUGCAAACAGAUGAGAGAGUGAGUUCACUGUCCACUGAAAUGGGAACAGUAGAGAAUAACUGUACAGCAGCAGUGUAGGUGAUCUGCAGUGCUUCUUCCAGUGAUUUAAUUGGUGCAGCGUGGCUUCCUAACAGUGGUGUGUUGAAACCCAAAGAUGGUACAAGAUCAAGCCCUUGGGAAAGCAUUUUGGAGGGGAUGGUGUUUGGCCUGGUGAUUUAAGGUGAACAAGUUGCCAUGGAUUUAAUUUUACUCUGAUAUAAAUAAGUCUUCCUUUCAGGGCAUCAGAGCUAGCCAGCUAAAUAUAUAUAUAUGUAAAUAUCUGUAUUUCUAUCAAUAUAUAAACUCUUCUGACAAGAAACUACUUAAAAUGAAAAGGGAAGCUUCUUUUAGCCAAUAGACCAAUCAUUUCUCACAGUGCAAAUCUGAGAUCAAUGAGACUGAUUUAUUGGAUUUAUAAGCUAGAACAGUGGCAUCACUGACAUAUUUCCACUUACUGAAAAUAGGUGUUAAGUUACUUAACUGGAAAUUAAAUAAAGAUUGAAUGAUCAAUGCAGCAAUUUACUAAAGUAGUGUAGUGGAUACUAAUGCAAAUCAAAAUUUUCUUUAAAAAUAUCCCUAACUCAAGAACACAUACUCAAAAAGUAGUUAACACAGGGAAUUCUAAACAGAUCAAAUUAAUCAUGUCUAAAAGACUUUCUGGUCUUAGAAUUUUGCAACAAAUAUGCAGCAGCAAUGAGGCAGUUCUUGGGUUUAAGUGGCCUAGUUAGUUCCUAAUGCUUGAAGCUGAAGUAACAUCUUUGAAGCUGUGGUUUAGGUGUUAAGAAGUCAUGUAGGUGGAAAGGGAGGGUUUAUUCAAAUUCCUUUCUUCUGUCACACCCUGGUAUGGCCCAGGCUGUUGGAGAGGUACAACAUUCCCUGUACGUGGUCGUGUCACCACUCAGCAAAUACUUGCUGACCACAGCAGAGCCUUGGGUCAGAUAGGGCUGAGCACAGGAGGGAUCUGCAUUCUUUCCCUUCUGAAAGGUGAGAUAUGAGUCCUUUGAACAGCUGCGUGUAUCCUGCAGUCAUCCCCUUAAAAUGCAAAGAACUGCCUCCCUCCAAUGCAGUCCAGGCAGGGGAAAGGCAAAGCUUCAGCAAGAAAAGGCCACUCAAAAUACAGGUCUUGAUAAAAAAGCAUUUCCUGUUGUCUUCCUCUCCAUGAGUCCCUGAAGAUAGCUUUCAGCAAAACACAUCUCCCUUCUAUGACCUGAGACUGCACAGGGCACCCCAGCAGCAAGUGCAGCUGAGGGCACGGGGGAACUAUUGCAGGGCAGCUCAUAAGGAGAUUUCUCCUCAAGCAAACUGUUUUUCUCCUUAUUUAUAAUUGUAGUGGAAUUUUAAAAAAAUCUAAAAUUGCCAAAAAAAAAAUCAGAAAAAAUACAGAGGGCAAGGGAUCAAAUAAUCUGGACCUGUGUCACCCUCACUGCCAGAUGUCUGUCCUGUGUCCUCCUCUCCUGCACAGAGCAUGGUUCAUGUUUCUGCUUCUCCUUGUCAGAAAACCUUGGCAACAAGCUCCUUGACUGGUUGAAGGAUCCAGGUAAAUUUUUAGGAAAUGGCAUCUUUCGUGUCCUCAGAUAGUACACAAACCUCACAGCUCUUGUGGCAAUGUUUAACUGGGACCUUUUCACUGUGAGCGGAUUAUUAACAUGGAUUUCACACCCCUGAAAGAAUGUUCGAAGCCUACAAAGAAAGACAUUGUCUGCUUUGUUUAACAAAUGACACUGUUUCCCUUCUGCCUAGCAACCUGGUUAGAGGAUUUGUAACAGGGAGCAAGGAGGGUGAGCAGGACAGAGCAACUCAAAUUAGCAAAUAAAUCUCAUCCCUUCAUUGCACUUUAGGCAGGAACUUGUAAUAAGUUUAAAAAGCAUGUCUCUCUUAAUCCAAUAACUGUAAAAUAACUCCAGAAACUCAGAUGCUUACCAAUCCAUUAGAACUGUAAGAAAAUACAUCUUCCAACACCAUUUCAAAAUAUAUUUUUUGAAAGACUGAUUGCUUUGCAUAUAUUUCCGUGCAGACAGUAAGAUCAUCACAUUAUCAUGCCCUUAAUUUCUACAAGUGAGAACUGAUAAUAUAGCAAUGUCACUGUAAACAUUAACAGAUGCAUCAUUCUCUGGCAUUUCUCACUUGUCUUCAAAGUCAUCAUUCUCUUAUCUUUUCUGACAUGCUGAAACUGAAAGUAUAUAUGCCUUUUAAAACUUCCUUAUUUUAUGCCUAGAAGUGAUCAGGCUUGUUCACAGCCAAGCUGUAUGAGUCAGGCUGAGCCAUUCACACAGCGGGUGCAGUGGACGAAGGAAGGAGUCUGGCCAAGGACUGAAACUGCCAGCUCGACCAGCUGCUGAUGUGCAGAUGUUGUGGCUGCAGUAGACCUGGAGAGAAGGAGGGACACUGCUGCAAUAUACCUAGAUUUUUUUGUCAAUCCAGAAUGACACGACAACUUGGUAAUGUACUGGGGAGACCACAAGGUAUGUCAGGAAAUGUCAGGAGCCAGAUGCUCUGCAGGGGACAGCAAGCCAGAGCCAAGGGUGACUGCAAGGCCAUGAGGGUCACAGGAAAAGCACCAUUGCUUGAGUCCAUGGAUGCUCAGGGUGAGCCACAGCCCUUUUCACCAGGAUUUGUAGUGAUAAGGCAAGGAGAAUGGCUUUAAACUGAAAUAGAGUCGGCUUAGAUUAGAACUUUGGAAGAAGUCCUUUACUCUGAGAGGCACUGGUAGAGGUUGCCCAGAGAAGCUGUGGAUGUUCCAUCCCAGUGAACAUCAGUGUUCAAGGCCAAGUUGGAUGGAUCUCUGAGCAGCCUGGUCUAGUGGAAAUUGUCCCUGCCCAUGGCAGAGGGAUUGGAACAAGAUGAUCUUUAAGGUCCCCUCCCAACCCAAACCAUUCUAUGACUUUAUGAUUGUCAGACAGGUCCACAGUGAUGAAGCAGAGCAGAGACCAAGCUACGAAGGCAAGUCAGUGGUUUAGGGUGACAAUGAGCAAGGUGCAAGGCUGGACACUGACAUUUCCACAACACAGCACAGAAUGGCACAAAUGGCCUGUGCUUUACUGGAGCUGAUGGACAAAGCAGAGGAGACCUCAGCCAGGAUUCCCACUGCUCUUUCACAAUUACUGUUUUCUCAGUAUCCUGGGAAAGUGCCCAUUUGUAUCACACUCGGAGUGAUUCAGAUUCCCUGCAUAGAAGAACCUCAGUGACAGGCUCGGCCGAAACUCAUCUUCCUUUAUCCAUAACCCAAACACCAUUCCCUUAAAAUCCUGCGGCUAUGUAGGAUCAGUCUUGGUCUUAAUGUUGUUUCCAAUUCUACUGCAAAAAGAAGACAAUAAAAAAUAAUUUGCAAAGUCCCUUUCCCUUCAAGAAUUACAGAUAAAAGUUUAAAUAUCUUAUUUUGUCAAAUAAUUGCAAAACUGGACAAGCAAUUUGACUACUGCUCUAAGUGAUACAGUAUUGUAAAAAUGUCCUCUGAGGGUGCAUGUAGUAGUAUUCUUCAUAAAAGCAAUCCUUAGAUAUGUAAAAACUUAUCCCUUGUACAGACAAGUGUUCUGGUUUGUUGCAUAAGUUAUCAGGUCAGAUGAGAAUAUUUUUGCAGAUACAUUUUUUAUGCUGUUACAUUAUCUCCCGUACAUGACAGGUAAGUUCUAAACAGGCAUGGUCCUGUGAAUGAUCUCAGAGUCCCUUUUGCUGUCUUAUAUUGCUCUGCCUGAAAAGGCAGGUAUCUGUGCCCAAAUAAACAAACUUCAUUCGGGACAAGCUAAACAAAACCCGAAAAAAUUCAAAGUCUGUCUACAAGUGGCCCAGCACAGCAUGGCCCAGCUGGAGCUGUCUGCACCCAGUUGGCCAGAAGACAUCAGAAGUUAUCUGCAAAACAGCUGGGAAAAAGCAAUAGCACAAGCAGACUCUUACAGCCACACACAGGCAAGGGAAAAAAAUUAGGGGAAAUAUAAGUAUUAAAUGAAUAUUCAAAGCUUGGCCCAACUUCCAUUUAAUUGUAAGUGAAAGUCCUUAUUGCAGUACAGCAGAAGAUGUCCUUGAAUUUUAUUUUCCCCAAACCUAGGAUGGCUCUGUGAGCUUUUGAACACUACAAUAAAACUUAAACCCAAAAAUA
This is a long non-coding RNA of Passer domesticus (house sparrow), 7541 nucleotides long. RefSeq lists it as uncharacterized. Lineage: Eukaryota; Metazoa; Chordata; Aves; Passeriformes; Passeridae. The record is from RefSeq and is a predicted model, not a curated record. The transcript has 2 exons.